GACCAAUGGGGGAAACCCUGAUCCAGCGACGCCGCGGUGUGUGAAGAAGGCCUGCGGGUUGUAAAAGCACUUUUCUAGUGGGGACACAAAAUGUCAUGGGCGAAUACCCCGUGAUCUUGAUUUAACUCACAGAAAAAGCACCGGUAACUCUGUGCCAGCAGCCGCGG
RNAcentral lists this ribosomal RNA (167 nucleotides) under uncultured bacterium. RNAcentral describes it as "partial 16S ribosomal RNA". It matches the Rfam family "Bacterial small subunit ribosomal RNA", at positions 367 to 520 of the family's 1533-position model. The record is from RNAcentral.